AGCAGCCGCGGUAAUUCCAGCUCCAAUAGCGUAUAUUAAAGUUGCUGCAGUUAAAAAGCUCGUAGUUGAAUUUCGGGAUCGAUAUAUCGGUCGUGCCUCGGUACGUACUGGUAUUUUCGGUUUCUCCCUUCUGACGAACCUUGAUGUCAUUAAUUUGGUGUCUUGGGGAAUCAGGACUGUUACUUUGAAAAAAUUAGAGUGUUUAAAGCAGGCUCACGCUUGAAUACAUUAGCAUGGAAUAAUGAAAUAGGACGUUUGAUUCUAUUUUGUUGGUUUCUAGGAUCGACGUAAUGAUUAAUAGGGAUAGUUGGGGGCAUUAGUAUUCAAUUGUCAGAGGUGAAAUUCUUGGAUUUAUUGAAGACUAACUACUGCGAAAAGCAUUUGCCAAGGAUGUUUUCAUUAAUCAAGAACGAAAGUUAGGGGAUCGAAGACGAUCAGAUACCGUCGUAGUCUUAACCAUAAACUAUGCCGACUAGAGAUCGGAUGAUGUUAAUUUUUUAAUGACUCAUUCGGCGCCUUACG
Molecule: ribosomal RNA, 522 nt
Filed under: uncultured Glomus
Lineage: Eukaryota; Fungi; Glomeromycota; Glomeromycetes; Glomerales; Glomeraceae
Description: SSU rRNA
Rfam family: Eukaryotic small subunit ribosomal RNA
Source: RNAcentral